Molecule: ribosomal RNA, 446 nt
Filed under: uncultured bacterium
Lineage: Bacteria
Description: bacterial SSU rRNA
Rfam family: Bacterial small subunit ribosomal RNA
Source: RNAcentral
AGCCAGACUCCUACGGGAGGCAGCAGUGGGGAAUAUUGCACAAUGGGGGAAACCCUGAUGCAGCGACGCCGCGUGAGCGAUGAAGUAUUUCGGUAUGUAAAGCUCUAUCAGCAGGGAAGAAGAUGACGGUACCUGACUAAGAAGCCCCGGCUAACUACGUGCCAGCAGCCGCGGUAAUACGUAGGGGGCAAGCGUUAUCCGGAUUUACUGGGUGUAAAGGGAGCGUAGACGGCGAUGCAAGCCAGAUGUGAAAGCCCGGGGCUCAACCCCGGGACUGCAUUUGGAACUGUGUGGCUGGAGUGUCGGAGAGGCAGGCGGAAUUCCUAGUGUAGCGGUGAAAUGCGUAGAUAUUAGGAGGAACACCAGUGGCGAAGGCGGCCUGCUGGACGAUGACUGACGUUGAGGCUCGAAAGCGUGGGGAGCAAACAGGAUUAGAUACCCGUGUA